RNAcentral lists this ribosomal RNA (500 nucleotides) under uncultured bacterium. RNAcentral describes it as "bacterial SSU rRNA". It matches the Rfam family "Bacterial small subunit ribosomal RNA", at positions 8 to 518 of the family's 1533-position model. The record is from RNAcentral.
AGAGUUUGAUUCUGGCUCAGGAUGAACGCUGGCGGCGUGCCUAACACAUGCAAGUCGAGCGGAGAUAAGUUGAAGCCUAGCGACUCUUAUCUUAGCGGCGGAUGGGUGAGUAACACGUGGGUAACCUGCCCUGCACUGGGGAAUAACAGCUGGAAACGGCUGUUAAUGCCGCAUAUGCGCACGGAGCCGCAUGGCUUUGGGCGGAAAGAUUUAUCGGUGCAGGAUGGGCCCGCGCCGGAUUAACUAGUUGGCGGGGUAACGGCCCACCAAGGUGAUGAUCCGUAGCCGACCUGAGAGGGUGACCGGCCACAUUGGGACUGAGACACGGCCCAAACUCCUACGGGAGGCAGCAGUGGGGGAUAUUGCACAAUGGGGGAAACCCUGAAUGCAGCGACGCCGCGUGAAGGAUGAAGUAUUUCGGUAUGUAAACUUCUAUCAGCGGGGAAGAAGAUGACGGUACCCGACUAAGAAGCCCCGGCUAACUACGUGCCAGCCGCAGC